This 497-nucleotide ribosomal RNA is filed under the name uncultured bacterium. RNAcentral's name for it is "partial 16S ribosomal RNA". It matches the Rfam family "Bacterial small subunit ribosomal RNA", at positions 28 to 507 of the family's 1533-position model. The record is from RNAcentral.
GACGAACGCUGGCGGCGUGCCUAAUACAUGCCAGUAGAACGCUGAAGAGAGGAGCUUACUCUUCUUGGAUGAGUUGCGAACGGGUGAGUAACGUGUAGGUAACCUGCCUUGUAGCGGGGGAUAACUAUUGGAAACGAUAGCUAAUACCGCAUAACAAUGGAUGACACAUGUCAUUUAUUUGAAAGGGGCAAUUGCUCCACUACAAGAUGGACCUGCGUUGUAUUAGCUAGUAGGUGAGGUAAUGGCUCACCUAGGCGACGAUACAUAGCCGACCUGAGAGGGUGAUCGGCCACACUGGGACUGAGACACGGCCCAGACUCCUACGGGAGGCAGCAGUAGGGAAUCUUCGGCAAUGGGGGCAACCCUGACCGAGCAACGCCGCGUGAGUGAAGAAGGUUUUCGGAUCGUAAAGCUCUGUUGUAAGUCAAGAACGGGUGUGAGAGUGGAAAGUUCACACUGUGACGGUAGCUUACCAGAAAGGGACGGCUAACUACGUG